UACGUAGGGCGCAAGCGUUGUCCGGAAUUAUUGGGCGUAAAGAGCUCGUAGGCGGCUUGUUGCGUCGACUGUGAAAACCUGCGGCUCAACCGUGUGGUCUGCAGUCGAUACGGGCAGGCUGGAGUUCGGUAGGGGAGACUGGAAUUCCUGGUGUAGCGGCGAAAUGCGCAGAUAUCAGGAGGAACACCGGUGGCGAAGGCGGGUCUCUGGGCCGAUACUGACGCUGAGGAGCGAAAGCGUGGGGAGCGAACAGG
This 254-nucleotide ribosomal RNA is filed under the name uncultured bacterium. RNAcentral describes it as "partial 16S ribosomal RNA". It matches the Rfam family "Bacterial small subunit ribosomal RNA", at positions 524 to 776 of the family's 1533-position model. The record is from RNAcentral.